Molecule: ribosomal RNA, 304 nt
Filed under: uncultured bacterium
Lineage: Bacteria
Description: partial 16S ribosomal RNA
Rfam family: Bacterial small subunit ribosomal RNA
Source: RNAcentral
CAGCAGCAGCCGCGGGAAUACAGAGGGUGCGAGCGUUAAUCGGAUUUACUGGGCGUAAAGCGUGCGUAGGCGGCUUCUUAAGUCGGAUGUGAAAUCCCUGAGCUUAACUUAGGAAUUGCAUUCGAUACUGGGAAGCUAGAGUAUGGGAGAGGAUUGUAGAAUUCCAGGUGUAGCGGUGAAAUGCGUAGAGAUCUGGAGGAAUACCGAUGGCGAAGGCAGCCAUCUGGCCUAAUACUGACGCUGAGGUACGAAAGCAUGGGGAGCAAACAGGAUUAGAUACCCCUGUAGUCCCUGUCUCUUAUAC